Molecule: non-coding RNA, 261 nt
Organism: Meleagris gallopavo (turkey)
Lineage: Eukaryota; Metazoa; Chordata; Aves; Galliformes; Phasianidae
Source: RefSeq, a predicted model, not a curated record
GGGGCGAUGGAGGUCACGUGAUACGGGCGGGCGGGCAGCGCGGGCGCUGCUGGGAAUAGAGCGGGAGGGGCGCGCGCGCGAGGGGGCGGCGGUUGACGGCGUCACCUCAGGAUAUAAUCUUCUGCAAUGAAUAAACGGAAGUUAAAGGACAGCAGUGGUUCAGAUGGGGAGUGCAUCUCGCAGGUGCAAAAAAUGCUACGUGAAAGACUGUGUCACCAUCAUGCUAUGGGAAAAUUGUUUGGGAUGGGUCAGCAGUACAAG